CCUCGAGGGCCCUCAUGCCAUCAUCAAAGCCAAUACUUCCUCGGUACUGGUCAACAAUGCUCGGCAAAAAUUGACCUCGGGUUUGGUCCUCUAAUGGGACAAACCAUGUUGGCAGAGCCCCAUCCUCGAGAUCAACCACUUCGAUAGGACCUCGAGAUUGAGGGACACUCCGAGGUGUACCCUGAGGGGUUGGGCGCUCAACCCUUUCCCGCUCUUUGGUCG
Molecule: long non-coding RNA, 222 nt
Filed under: Olea europaea (common olive)
Lineage: Eukaryota; Viridiplantae; Streptophyta; Magnoliopsida; Lamiales; Oleaceae
Description: long non-coding RNA (OEUR_LNC001163)
Source: RNAcentral